This 424-nucleotide ribosomal RNA is filed under the name Pseudomonas aeruginosa. Its description in RNAcentral is "bacterial LSU rRNA". It matches the Rfam family "Bacterial large subunit ribosomal RNA", at positions 707 to 1128 of the family's 2925-position model. The record is from RNAcentral. Lineage: Bacteria; Pseudomonadati; Pseudomonadota; Gammaproteobacteria; Pseudomonadales; Pseudomonadaceae.
CUGUAGACCCGAAGCCGAGUGAUCUAUCCAUGGGCAGGUUGAAGCGGGGGUAAGACUCCGUGGAGGACCGAACCCACGUCAGUUGAAAAUGGCGGGGAUGACCUGUGGAUAGGGGUGAAAGGCCAAGCAAACUCGGUGAUAGCUGGUUCUCUCCGAAAUGCAUCUAGGUGCAGCGUCGCGUGUUCAGUCAUGGAGGUAGAGCACUGGAUGGGAUAGGGGGCCUACAAGCUUACCGAACCCAGCCAAACUCCGAAUGCCAUGACUCCAGAGCGCGGCAGUGAGACCACGGGGGAUGAGCUUCGUUGGUCGAAAGGGAAACAGCCCAGACCGCCGGCUAAGGCCCCUAAUUCUGGACUAAGUGGAAAACGAUGUGGAACUGCCCAGACAGCCAGGAGGUUGGCUUAGAAGCAGCCACCCUUGAAAG